Molecule: long non-coding RNA, 2810 nt
Organism: Oreochromis aureus
Lineage: Eukaryota; Metazoa; Chordata; Actinopteri; Cichliformes; Cichlidae
Source: Ensembl
CUGGUGCGACACAGCAGUAAAUGCUGGCCUAUUGGUUAAUUUACCGAUACGAUCGGAUCGUGUGACUGCUACAGCGCGGCUGUUUCUCUUUUUUUUACUCCAGCCAUGGUGGAGAGACGUGUGAGUUGCGUCCACCGUGCAGUACAGUGCCUCCAGUCUUGGGGGUUUGAUUGCUGCCGCACCCUCUCAGGGAUCAACUGCCUGAUUUUAAGCGAAGAGUCGAGAUGCCUGCCUGGCUGCUGUCUUGUCUUGCCUUGUUUUAUCUUGUGUUCCGAUCUGUUGGCUGUCCAGUUUUGUUCCUGCUGUUUGCCCCGCCUCGCCCCUGGGGGCUUUGGGUCUCACGCUAAGCCCCUUUUGGACUAUCAUUUCACUCCAGCUUUCGCGACUGGUCGGGGCGAUCCUCAGCUGCAUAUUGGGCUGGUGUUACAAAACUGGUACUGCCUCUCCCUUUUCUCCCAGUUGUGGAGAGCUGCGCGGGACUGAGUGGGGCUACGGACAAUCGGAACCAGCACCAGCUGUGGGCUGGCUCGCAGAGUACAAGUACUUCCAAUCUGUGCUCUGUGCGAACUGAGGAUCUACCAGCUGCCGUGGGACCUUAGGGGGCAGGUCGUUUUCCACACUUUUUUUUGUUGUACAGCACCAGGUGAAUAGACUAUAGUGGGGGGGGUUGUGUGGUUUUCUUUUGGUCCACCGCUGCUGGUAAGUCCCAGUUGUGUGUUUAUUUUUAUUGUAAUUUGGGACACCGUUUUAGACAUUCAGUGCGCUGUCAGUGUUUUGUUUUUUAUUUUACAUUAAUAAAUAAAAUUGUGUUAAUAUUUGAGUCGGCCUCAGUGUGCAUCCCUGAACCUAACGUUGUUUUAAUUUCAUUUCUAAAGUUCAUAUUUCCUGGGGGCUAGAAUUCCCCCCCCCCCAGGUGGCGUUGUCAUUUUAUUAUUUCUUUUAUAACCCCGCCGACCACUUGGUCACACAAUCAUACCCAUUCACACAAGCACUUUAUCUAACACUACGUUCACACUGCAGGUCUUAAUGCUCAAUUCCGAUUUUUUUUUUUUUUUUUUUUUUUUUGUCUGGUUGUUCACACUACAAAUAAAAUGUGACAGCAAACCCGCUCUAGUGUGAACUGUUCACAAUAGUGUCAUGUGACACUAUUGAUCAUGUGACACGACACAUGAUCAAUAGUGGGUCAGCGACCCUUUUUCUUUCCGUCUCAGGUUUAAAUAUCUGGGACUCUCCACCGUUUGGUUUUAGAACUGAAGAAGCUUCACGGAUGAAACGUCUUCAAGAAACUUAAAGAAGUCUCUUUUCUUUCCAAGCUCCUUAGAUCACCAUGACCUGGAUGACUGAGAACCUACAGACAUAUUGACCUUGUUUCUAGGUUGCAUGACAGACUGACUUAAGUCCACAAGAAGAUGAUGAUGGAGGAAGAGGAGGACAGAGCAGAGUCUGCAGGAUCUAGCCAUCCCUCUGUGACCAGUGACCAGUCCAAAGGUCAAAAUCAAGCCUUCAGAGCUGAACCUGGACCAACGAGAGGUCACAGUCUGAAGGAUCCAGUCAUCCGUCUGUGAGGAGUGACCAGUCCAAAGGUCACACUCCAGACUUCAGUAAUGAAUCUGGACCAACGAGUCGCUCCUAAAUAUACGAGCCACUGUUCAGGAGCAUCCCGACUGGCCCUAGGAUGUCAGGAAUUUCGUAUCCCACCCAUGCUAGAGAUCGUACCAUUGUUCCUCUGAUGCGGCCCACCUUGCCUUCCAUCCAGGAAGAAAAUGCCACAGAAGACGAAGGAAACAGGGCAGUGUGUUGGUAAAAUGUAAUAACUGCAUGGCUGCAUCACUCAUGACUAAUCCCUGCGUUCUUCUGAACAAACUUGCCCCGGACCUCGGGUUGUUCAUUUCCUGGCAAUUCCUGGAAUCUGGAUCGUACCUGUGGCUCCACAUCUCAGUGUCCAGCUUUCAUGGCAACUGUUUCAACUGUCAGCAGCUAACAGCUGAUGUUUACAUCAGCUUUGAACUGCAGUUGAUUGCAGUCCAGCUGUCCACUCCAGUGCUGUGUACCGACCACCGGAAUACAACAAGAAUUUUAUCCAAGACUUCUCUGAAUUCUUAGCAGGAAUUAUUCCAAGAUAUGACAGUCUUAAUUCCAGGGGAUUUAAUAUCCAUGUUUGCUCCUUAAACACACCGCUGACUAAUGACUUUUUAAAUCUUAUAGACUUUUUAAAAAUCUUGUUCAGUCAGUUAAAGGCCCAACUCAGGAACGUGGACACACUUUGGAUCUUGUGCUGUCUAGUGGCCUGACUCUCUGUGACACUCUCUGUGACACUCUGUGCGAUGUUAAACAUGCUGUGGUGGAGCCUAUUCCUAAAAAAUAAAACCUGGAUCCAACUGUUUAGGCUUCCACUUAAAUGUAAAUCUGUGAGCAUGUAAGACACAGAUAUCUUAAGUUUCUUAAUUUAAAUGAACAGAAAACAGAGGUCAUUGUGUUUGGUCCCUGUGACCGCUACGAUCUUGGCCCUUUAGAGAUUUAUAAAAAACCUUUUGUGAGGACCUUCAUAGUGAUUUUUCACAGUAAUCUAACUUUUGAUUAACAGUUAAACAGUUUGCUGUAAACAAAGCGAGAUUUUUUUCUUCUCUGGCUACAUGCAAAAGUGAAGCCAUCCCUCUUGUUACAGGCAUUGCCCUUUAAGAAUGUAGCCUCAUGGGUAGUGUAGUCCGUGCUGCAGGCAGAAUGUGUGGGACUGCCCCUCCCAAUGUGUGUGUGAGAGCGAGGGAGGGAGAAAGUACGAGUUGCUACUGACGAGAAAUGGAAGAUGAAAG